Molecule: ribosomal RNA, 270 nt
Filed under: uncultured archaeon
Lineage: Archaea
Description: partial 16S ribosomal RNA
Rfam family: Archaeal small subunit ribosomal RNA
Source: RNAcentral
CAGCUCUCCGAGUAGUGUGGACGUUUAUUGGGCCUAAAGCAUCCGUAGCUGGCUGGACAAGUCCCCUGUUAAAUCCACCGAUUUAAUCGUUGGUGUGCGGGGGAUACUGUUCGGCUAGGGGACGGGAGAGGCCGACGGUAUUUCCGGGGUAGGGGUGAAAUCCUAUAAUCCCGGGAGGACCACCAGUGGCGAAGGCUGUCGGCUAGAACGCGCCCGACGGUGAGGGAUGAAAGCUGGGGGAGCGAACCGGAUUAGAGACCCGAGUAGUCC